RNAcentral lists this ribosomal RNA (497 nucleotides) under uncultured bacterium. RNAcentral's name for it is "partial 16S ribosomal RNA". It matches the Rfam family "Bacterial small subunit ribosomal RNA", at positions 28 to 507 of the family's 1533-position model. The record is from RNAcentral.
GACGAACGCUGGCGGCGUGCCUAAUACAUGCAAGUUGAGCGCUGAUGGUUGGUACUUGUACCAACUGGAUGAGCAGCGAACGGGUGAGUAACGCGUGGGGAAUCUGCCUUUGAGCGGGGGACAACAUUUGGAAACGAAUGCUAAUACCGCAUAAAAACUUUAAACACAAGUUUUAAGUUUGAAAGAUGCAAUUGCAUCACUCAAAGAUGAUCCCGCGUUGUAUUAGCUAGUUGGUGAGGUAAAGGCUCACCAAGGCGAUGAUACAUAGCCGACCUGAGAGGGUGAUCGGCCACAUUGGGACUGAGACACGGCCCAAACUCCUACGGGAGGCAGCAGUAGGGAAUCUUCGGCAAUGGACGAAAGUCUGACCGAGCAACGCCGCGUGAGUGAAGAAGGUUUUCGGAUCGUAAAACUCUGUUGGUAGAGAAGAACGUUGGUGAGAGUGGAAAGCUCAUCAAGUGACGGUAACUACCCAGAAAGGGACGGCUAACUACGUG